CACCAAGGUGCUCAUCGCCCUCGCCGACAACGUCGGCUCCAAGCAGCUCCAGGACAUCCGCCGCGGGCUGAGGGGCGACUCAGUGGUGCUCAUGGGGAAGAACACGCUCAUCAGGCGCUGCAUCAAGGCUUACGCUGACAAGACGGGGAACCACACCUUCGACCCGCUCAUGGACCUCCUCGUCGGCAACGUUGGCCUCAUCUUCACCAAGGGUGACCUCAAGGAGGUCCGCGAGGAGGUCGCCAAGU
This 248-nucleotide long non-coding RNA is filed under the name Setaria viridis. Its description in RNAcentral is "long non-coding RNA (SVIR_LNC002475)". The record is from RNAcentral. Lineage: Eukaryota; Viridiplantae; Streptophyta; Magnoliopsida; Poales; Poaceae.